This 489-nucleotide long non-coding RNA is filed under the name Eutrema salsugineum. RNAcentral describes it as "long non-coding RNA (ESAL_LNC002199)". The record is from RNAcentral. Lineage: Eukaryota; Viridiplantae; Streptophyta; Magnoliopsida; Brassicales; Brassicaceae.
GCGGACUGGCGUUGUUUUGGAAAAAUGAGAUCGACCUGCAAGUGACGUUCAGUUGCGAGAACUUCAUCGACACCACAAUCAAACACAAAGGACAACUUCUAUACGCAACAUUUGUAUAUGGCCACCCGGAUAAGAAAAAAAGGAAGGAUGUAUGGCAAAGAAUAACAACUACAGCACUAAGUAGAGACUCACCAUGGAUCCUAACCGGAGAUUUUAAUGAUAUGGUGAAUAGCUCUGAAAAAGAAGGGGGGCCCCCUAGAUCAGAGGAGUCGUUUGUAGAGUUUCGCUCGUUCAUGUCUGAAAAAUGAUCUAUAUGACAUUAAGCAUUUUGGAAACUUUUUAUCCUGGAGAGGGAAUCGAAGUAAUCACCAUGUAAAAUGCAGACUUGACAGAUCGGUGGCCAACAGUGCUUGGUUCUGCGCAUACCCUCUCGCGAGCGGUGAAUACCUGGCCUUCGAAGCGUCGGAUCACAGGCCUCUCAUCACCAGC